UUUAUAUUUGUUAUGCUUAUUAUUUUAUUUAAUUUCUUUUUCUAUAUAGUAUCUUGCUAUUUAUUUUAAUUUUUUAUUAUUAUUAAUUUAAUUCGAUUGUUAUUUAGUGGUUUGUAUUUUUUAAAUGUUUACCUUUUAGAUUUAGUUAGUGGUUGAAUUUCCGAUUUUUUUAUUCGAUUAGUCGAUUUUUAUGUGUUAACUAAUUUAGUUAGGUUAUUAGUACCCAUAUCCAUACUUUUACAUGUGUAAAUAAUCAUACUCAAAUUUGACUCGAUUUCAAAAUCAAU
Molecule: long non-coding RNA, 287 nt
Filed under: Lathyrus oleraceus (garden pea)
Lineage: Eukaryota; Viridiplantae; Streptophyta; Magnoliopsida; Fabales; Fabaceae
Description: Pisum sativum (pea) long non-coding RNA (PSAT_LNC014109)
Source: RNAcentral